RNAcentral lists this ribosomal RNA (502 nucleotides) under uncultured Desulfobulbus sp. RNAcentral's name for it is "bacterial SSU rRNA". It matches the Rfam family "Bacterial small subunit ribosomal RNA", at positions 905 to 1382 of the family's 1533-position model. The record is from RNAcentral. Lineage: Bacteria; Pseudomonadati; Thermodesulfobacteriota; Desulfobulbia; Desulfobulbales; Desulfobulbaceae.
GCCCGCUCAGAAACUACACAGGAAUUGACGGGGGCCCGCACAAGCGGUGGAGCAUGUGGUUUAAUUCGAUGCAACGCGAAGAACCUUACCUGGUCUUGACAUCCCGGAGACCCUUAGGAAACUAGGGGGUGCUUCCAUCUGGAAGAAUCUGGAGACAGGUGCUGCAUGGCUGUCGUCAGCUCGUGUCGUGAGAUGUUGGGUUAAGUCCCGCAACGAGCGCAACCCUUGCCUUUAGUUGCCAGCAGUUCGGCUGGGCACUCUAAAGGGACUGCCGGUGUUAAACCGGAGGAAGGUGGGGAUGACGUCAAGUCCUCAUGGCCUUUAUGACCAGGGCUACACACGUACUACAAUGGCCGAUACAAAGGGCAGCGACACUGCGAGGUGAAGCCAAUCCCGUAAAAUCGGUCUCAGUCCGGAUUGGAGUCUGCAACUCGACUCCAUGAAGUUGGAAUCGCUAGUAAUCGUGGAUCAGCAUGCCACGGUGAAUACGUUCCCGGGCCUU